AUGCCAAGCUCCUCCUCCUCCUCCUCCAACCCCUUCCACUGCUCCCUCACCUCCAACUCCCUUCCCACAUCCUCCUCGUCUCCGGCUCCUCCCCUCGCCGUCCCGCGCCUCCUCCCCGUCACCGCCCCCUCCUCUCCCUCUUCCUCGUCCGCGCCCAAUCUCAGGCCGCAGCCGCAGCGGCAGCGGCUGAUGGCCGGCCCGGCGGCGGCCGGCGGCGGGAAGGGGGCAGCAGGAGGAGGGAUUAAGGUUGGCGGGAGCGGGGGGCCCGCGUUCGUGGGGCAGGUGUUCACCAUGCUCGACCCCUCCGGGAACGGCCUCAUGGCCGUCACCAAACGCUUCGACCUCCCGCACUUCAUCGCCGACAGGACUCCUACAUGGUUUAAAAGGAUAUUGUCACCAUUGAAGAAGAGCGACAAUGAUCCAGUGUUUAGGUUUUUUAUGGAUCUGAAUGAUUCAGUGUCCUAUGUUAAGCGGCUAAAUGUCCCAAGUGGUAUGGUGGGGGCUUGUCGCCUUGAUGUAGCUUAUGAACAUUUCAAGGAAAAGCCUCACAUGUUCCAGUUUGUUCCAAACGAGAAGCAGGUCAAAGCUGCUAAUAAGCUCUUAAAGUCAAUCCCACAAAGGGGCAGAAAGAAAAAACUUGCUGGUGUCCCUGUUUUUAGUGCUCAAAAUUUGAAUAUUGCAGUGGCAACAAAUGAUGGAAUUAGAUGGUAUUCACCAUACUUUUUUGAUAAAAGCUUGUUGGACAAUAUUCUCGAAGCUUCAAUGGAUCAGCAUUUUCAUUCAAUGAUUCAAAACCGCCAUAUACAACGUAGAAGAGAUAUUGUUGAUGAUAGUUUAACAUCAGAAAUACUUGAAGAAAGUGCAGACAGCUUGCUUGAGCCUCCAGAGAUGCAAGAAUUGAUGAAUGAGAUUGGUCCAGCUGGAAUACCAUUAAGUGUUGUAACAAAAGCAGCUGAGAUCCAGUGUCUUGAUGUUGUUGAUAAAUUACUUUUAGGAAAUAAGUGGCUCAGAAGAGCUACUGGCAUACAACCACAUUUUCCUUAUGUUGUUGAUUCAUUUGAAGAAAGGACAGCAGUUUCAGUUGACAGGGUUGCUACCUCCAGUAAUACUUCAACUGCCUCUAAGGAUGCUGACUGCUGCCCAAUUGAUCAGCAAUCUCAAACUUUGGAGUCAAACAUUGAUAGCGGCAACCACAGAAAACACAAUAGCCGAGAUCAUGGCCAGUCUCACUUCCCAUUUAGCAAUCUACUUUCUAAUAUAUGGCCAGGGCACGAUAGAAUGUUCAAACGGCAAGAAAAUGACUCCAGAUCCAGAAGAUAUGAUUCAAGCAUGAACAAUGAUUUGGAAGCAAAUCCUCUUCUACCCAAAAUCACCAUGGUUGGCAUUUCAAUGAGCGAAGGGGGACAAAUGAGCAAAGCCAACCUAAAGAAAACAAUGGAUGACUUGACAAAAGAGUUGGAGCAAGCAGGCGAAAAAACGGUCUUCGGCGGUGAGAAAGAUCCGCUGUUUGUUGCCAACGUUGGUGAUUACUCCAGGAUUACAAAGUUUAGCUCAACAUGA
This 1560-nucleotide ribosomal RNA is filed under the name Triticum aestivum (bread wheat). Its description in RNAcentral is "partial small subunit ribosomal RNA". The record is from RNAcentral. Lineage: Eukaryota; Viridiplantae; Streptophyta; Magnoliopsida; Poales; Poaceae.